RNAcentral lists this ribosomal RNA (272 nucleotides) under uncultured bacterium. Its description in RNAcentral is "partial 16S ribosomal RNA". It matches the Rfam family "Bacterial small subunit ribosomal RNA", at positions 84 to 354 of the family's 1533-position model. The record is from RNAcentral.
CCCGCCGGCGACCGGCGCACGGGUGAGUAACACGUAUGCAACCUGGCCGCCACAGGGGGAUAACCCGCGGAAACGCGGCCUAAUACCCCGUGACGCCACCGGAGGGCAUCCUCCGGUGGCCAAAGGAGCGAUCCGGUGGCGGAUGGGCAUGCGGCGCAUUAGCUAGACGGCGGGGUGACGGCCCACCGUGGCGACGAUGCGUAGGGGUUCUGAGAGGAAGGCCCCCCACACUGGGACUGAGACACGGCCCAGACUUCUACGGGAGGCAGCAG